CAGCCAGAGAGAGAUGGAGAGUGAGAUCUGGAGCCUUCAGUAAAUCCUGUAGCCAGUAUUAGGAAGGGCCUGACUUAAUAGACUUCCCAUCUGCUGGGUGUCUCGUCCAUCGCCACAUUGAAAAUGGUUGACCAGCCAGGGAGACAAAGGGCAGGGAGAUUUGGAGUCUUCAGUAAAUCCUGCAGUAAGGUACUCAGGAAGGUCCUGUCUCAACAAGCUUCACAAUUGCUGGGUGUUUCAUCCAUCAUCUCAUUGAACACAGUUGGUCAGCCAGAGGAGAGUGAGAUCUGGAGUCUUCAAUAAAUCCUGC
Molecule: long non-coding RNA, 310 nt
Organism: Hemiscyllium ocellatum (epaulette shark)
Lineage: Eukaryota; Metazoa; Chordata; Chondrichthyes; Orectolobiformes; Hemiscylliidae
Exons: 3
Source: RefSeq, a predicted model, not a curated record